Molecule: ribosomal RNA, 1301 nt
Filed under: uncultured Sebacina
Lineage: Eukaryota; Fungi; Basidiomycota; Agaricomycetes; Sebacinales; Sebacinaceae
Description: eukaryotic LSU rRNA
Rfam family: Eukaryotic large subunit ribosomal RNA (bases 628-1301)
Source: RNAcentral
UUUAGAGGAAGUAAAAGUCGUAACAAGGUUUCCGUAGGUGAACCUGCGGAAGGAUCAUUAAUGAAUUAAAGUCGGUCUUCUGUGCUGGUGGUGACACAUGUGCACGUUGAUCGCAAAUCCACACACCUGUGCACCUUUGACUUUAGGAUCCGCUUGUUGGCUUGUCUGACUUGCAGCUGAUGUUGGUUUUGUGCUCAUCUGGAUCUUAGAGUAAUUUUACACACUCUGAAUGUAAUGGAAUGUUCCUGUGCAUAAUGCGCAAAAUACAACUUUCAACAACGGAUCUCUUGGCUCUCGCAUCGAUGAAGAACGCAGCGAAAUGUGAUAAGUAAUGUGAAUUGCAGAAUUCAGUGAAUCAUCGAAUCUUUGAACGCACCUUGCACCCUUUGGUAUUCCAAAGGGUACACCCGUUUGAGUGUCAUUGUAAUCUCACUUCAUCAGCUUUUGUUGAUGGAGGUGGACUUGGACUCUGUUGUGUCAUUACAACUGGUCUGAAAUGUGUGAGUGCACCCUGCUGUUGCAGCGUCCUCAGUGUGAUAAGCAUCUUCACUGAAUCAAGUUCCUUUGGGACACGUGUGUAAUGUGGGCUCUGUGCUGGCAAACUGUCUUUGGACAAUCUUGACAAUUUGACCUCAGAUCGAGUGGGACUACCCGCUGAACUUAAGCAUAUCAAUAAGCGGAGGAAAAGAAACUAACAAGGAUUCCCCUAGUAACGGCGAGUGAAGAGGGAAAAGCUCAAAUUUUGAAUCUGGUGCCUUUGGCAUCCGAGUUGUAAUCUAGAGAAGUGUUUUCUGCCUUGGACCACACAUAAAUUCCCUGGAAUGGGGUGUCAUAGAGGGUGAGAAUCCCGUUUGUGGUGUGGACUACCUUGGCUCUGUGAUACACUCUCAACGAGUCGAGUUGUUUGGGAAUGCAGCUCAAAAUGGGUGGUAAAUUCCAUCUAAAGCUAAAUAUUGGCGAGAGACCGAUAGCGAACAAGUACCGUGAGGGAAAGAUGAAAAGCACUUUGGAAAGAGAGUGAAACAGUACGUGAAAUUGUUGAAAGGGAAGCGUUUGAAGUCAGUCACAUUGGUCAGAAUUCAGCCUGGCUUAUGCCUGGUGUACUUUCUGGCAAAUGGGUCAGCGUCAAUUUUGACCGAGGGAGAAAGACUUGAGGAAGGUGGCUGUCUUUGGGCAGUGUUAUAGCCUCUUGUUGUAAUGCUCGGUUGGGAUUGAGGAUCGCAGCACGCCUUAUGGCCGGGGUUCGCGCCCUCGGUACGUGCUUAGGACGCUGGCAUAAUGGCUUUAAGCGACCCGUCUUG